CAGUAGCCGCGGUAACACGAAGGGUGCAAGCGUUAAUCGGAAUUACUGGGCGUAAAGCGUGCGUAGGCGGUUUGUUAAGUCUGCUGUGAAAUCCCCGGGCUCAACCUGGGAAUGGCAGUGGAUACUGGCAAGCUAGAGUGUGUCAGAGGAUGGUGGAAUUCCCGGUGUAGCGGUGAAAUGCGUAGAGAUCGGGAGGAACAUCAGUGGCGAAGGCGGCCAUCUGGGACAACACUGACGCUGAGGCACGAAAGCGUGGGGAGCAAACAGGAUUAGAUACCCCAGUAGUCCCUGUCUCUUAUAC
This 301-nucleotide ribosomal RNA is filed under the name uncultured bacterium. RNAcentral describes it as "partial 16S ribosomal RNA". It matches the Rfam family "Bacterial small subunit ribosomal RNA", at positions 509 to 807 of the family's 1533-position model. The record is from RNAcentral.